GCAGUAGCCGCGGGAAUACAGAGGGUGCGAGCGUUAAUCGGAUUUACUGGGCGUAAAGCGUGCGUAGGCGGCUUCUUAAGUCGGAUGUGAAAUCCCUGAGCUUAACUUAGGAAUUGCAUUCGAUACUGGGAAGCUAGAGUAUGGGAGAGGAUGGUAGAAUUCCAGGUGUAGCGGUGAAAUGCGUAGAGAUCUGGAGGAAUACCGAUGGCGAAGGCAGCCAUCUGGCCUAAUACUGACGCUGAGGUACGAAAGCAUGGGGAGCAAACAGGAUUAGAUACCCGUGUAGUCCCUGUCUCUUAUAA
RNAcentral lists this ribosomal RNA (302 nucleotides) under uncultured bacterium. RNAcentral describes it as "partial 16S ribosomal RNA". It matches the Rfam family "Bacterial small subunit ribosomal RNA", at positions 508 to 809 of the family's 1533-position model. The record is from RNAcentral.